AGAGUUUGAUCCUGGCUCAGAACGAACGCUGGCGGCGUGCUUAACACAUGCAAGUCGAACGCGAAAUUUUUCUUCGGAAAGAAAGUAGAGUGGCGCACGGGUGAGUAACGCGUAAGUUAUCUACCUCGGCAUCUGGAAUAACUCACCGAAAGGUGUGCUAAUACCGGAUACGUUGAGUAAUCAAGAAAGGUGGCCUCUGAAUAUGCUACUGUGCUGAGAUGAGCUUGCGUACCAUUAGCUAGUUGGUAGGGUAAAGGCCUACCAAGGCGACGAUGGUUAGCGGGUCUGAGAGGAUGAUCCGCCACACUGGAACUGGAACACGGACCAGACUCCUACGGGAGGCAGCAGUGAGGAAUAUUGCGCAAUGGGGGCAACCCUGACGCAGCGACGCCGCGUGGAUGAUGAAGGCCUUCGGGUCGUAAAAUCCUGUCAAGUGGAAAGAAGUGCAUAGUGGUUAAUACCUGCUAUGUUUGACGGUACCACUGAAGGAAGCACCGGCUAACUCCGUGCCAGCAGCCGCGGUAAUACGGAGGGUGCAAGCGUUGUUCGGAAUUACUGGGCGUAAAGCGCGCGUAGGCGGUUUUACAAGUCAGAUGUGAAAGCCCAUUGCUCAACCAUGGACGUGCAUUUGAAACUGUAAGACUUGAGUAUUGGAGGGGGUGGUGGAAUUCCCGGUGUAGAGGUGAAAUUCGUAGAUAUCGGGAGGAAUACCAGUGGCGAAGGCGACCACCUAGCCAAAUACUGACGCUCAUGUGCGAAAGCGUGGGGAGCAAACAGGAUUAGAUACCCUGGUAGUCCACGCCGUAAACGAUGUCAACUAGGUGUUGGGACGGUUAAUCGUCUCAUUGCCGCAGCUAACGCAUUAAGUUGACCGCCUGGGGAGUACGGUCGCAAGAUUAAAACUUAAAGGAAUUGACGG
RNAcentral lists this ribosomal RNA (919 nucleotides) under uncultured bacterium. Its description in RNAcentral is "bacterial SSU rRNA". It matches the Rfam family "Bacterial small subunit ribosomal RNA", at positions 8 to 916 of the family's 1533-position model. The record is from RNAcentral.